AUUGAACGCUGGCGGCAGGCCUAACACAUGCAAGUCGAACGAGUGGCGGACGGGUGAGUAAUGUCUGGGAAACUGCCUGAUGGAGGGGGAUAACUACUGGAAACGGUAGCUAAUACCGCAUACCAUCGGAUGUGCCCAGAUGGGAUUGGCUAGCGGGUGGGGUAAAGGCUCACCUAGGCGACGAUCCCUAGCUGGUCUGAGAGGAUGACGAGCCACACUGGAACUGUGACACGGUCCAGACUCCUACGGGCGGCAGCAGUGGGGAAUAUUGCACAAUGGACGCAAGCCUAAUGCAGCCAUGCCGCGUGUAUGAAGAAGGCCUUCGGGUUGUAAAGUACUUUCAGCGGGGAGGCGUUACCCGCAGAAGAAGCACCGGCUAACUCCGUGCCAGCAGCCGCGGUAAUAC
RNAcentral lists this ribosomal RNA (406 nucleotides) under uncultured bacterium. RNAcentral describes it as "partial 16S ribosomal RNA". It matches the Rfam family "Bacterial small subunit ribosomal RNA", at positions 30 to 526 of the family's 1533-position model. The record is from RNAcentral.